UAUGGAAUCUUCGGCAAUGGACGAAAGUCUGACCGAGCAACGCCGCGUGAGUGAAGAAGGUUUUCGGAUCGUAAAACUCUGUUGUUAGAGAAGAACAAGGACGUUAGUAACUGAACGUCCCCUGACGGUAUCUAACCAGAAAGCCACGGCUAACUACGUGCCAGCAGCCGCGGUAAUACGUAGGUGGCAAGCGUUGUCCGGAUUUAUUGGGCGUAAAGCGAGCGCAGGCGGUUACUUAAGUCUGAUGUGAAAGCCCCCGGCUCAACCGGGGAGGGUCAUUGGAAACUGGGAGGCAAUGGUGCAGAAGAGGGGAGAGGAAUUCCAUGUGUAGCGGUAAAAUGCGUAGUUAUAUGGAGCAACACCAGUGGCGAAGGCGACUCACUGGUCUGUAACUGACGCUGAGGCUCGAAAGCGUGGGGAGCAAACAGG
This 429-nucleotide ribosomal RNA is filed under the name Gemmatimonadota bacterium. RNAcentral describes it as "Gemmatimonadetes bacterium partial 16S ribosomal RNA". It matches the Rfam family "Bacterial small subunit ribosomal RNA", at positions 355 to 776 of the family's 1533-position model. Lineage: Bacteria; Pseudomonadati; Gemmatimonadota. The record is from RNAcentral.